RNAcentral lists this ribosomal RNA (488 nucleotides) under uncultured bacterium. Its description in RNAcentral is "bacterial SSU rRNA". It matches the Rfam family "Bacterial small subunit ribosomal RNA", at positions 30 to 531 of the family's 1533-position model. The record is from RNAcentral.
AUUGAACGCUGGCGGCAUGCCUUACACAUGCAAGUCGAACGGUAACGGGCCUUCGGGCGCCGACGAGUGGCGAACGGGUGAGUAAUGCAUCGGAACGUACCUUUCAGUGGGGGAUAACGUAGCGAAAGUUACGCUAAUACCGCAUAUUCUGUGAGCAGGAAAGCAGGGGAUCGCAAGACCUUGCGCUGAUUGAGCGGCCGAUGUCAGAUUAGCUAGUUGGUGAGGUAAAGGCUCACCAAGGCGACGAUCUGUAGCGGGUCUGAGAGGAUGAUCCGCCACACUGGAACUGAGACACGGUCCAGACUCCUACGGGAGGCAGCAGUGGGGAAUUUUGGACAAUGGGCGAAAGCCUGAUCCAGCAACGCCGCGUGAGGGAUGACGGCCUUCGGGUUGUAAACCGUCUUUCAGUAGGACGAAGCGAAAGUGACGGUACCUACAGAAGAAGGACGGCCAACUACGUAGCCAGCAGCCGCGGUAAAGUACUCUAU